UACGUAUGGGGCGAGCGUUGUCCGGAAUUAUUGGGCGUAAAGGGUUCGUAGGCGGUUUAUUAAGUCGAGUGUGAAAGGUUGGGGCUCAACCCCAUAAAGCAUUCGAAACUGAUAAACUUGAGAUGUGGAGAGGAAAGUGGAAUUCCUAGUGUAGCGGUGACAUGCGUAGAUAUUAGGAGGAAUACCAGUAGCGAAGGCGACUUUCUUGACACAUACUGACGCUAAGGAACGAAAGCCAGGGGAGCAAACGGGAUUAGAUACCCGGGUAGUCCCUGAGCGGGCUGGCAA
RNAcentral lists this ribosomal RNA (288 nucleotides) under uncultured prokaryote. RNAcentral describes it as "partial 16S ribosomal RNA". It matches the Rfam family "Bacterial small subunit ribosomal RNA", at positions 524 to 815 of the family's 1533-position model. The record is from RNAcentral.